CAGCCGUAAACUAUGCUCGCUAGGUGUCAGGCAUGGCGCGACCGUGUCUGGUGCCGCAGGGAAGCCGUGAAGCGAGCCACCUGGGAAGUACGGCCGCAAGGCUGAAACUUAAAGGAAUUGGCGGGGGGAGCACAACAACGGGUGGAGCCUGCGGUUUAAUUGGACUCAACGCCGGACAACUCACCGGGGACGACAGCAAUAUGUAGGCCAGGCUGAAGACCUUGCCUGAAUCGCUGAGAGGAGGUGCAUGGC
This 252-nucleotide ribosomal RNA is filed under the name uncultured archaeon. Its description in RNAcentral is "partial 16S ribosomal RNA". It matches the Rfam family "Archaeal small subunit ribosomal RNA", at positions 748 to 998 of the family's 1478-position model. The record is from RNAcentral.